GACGAACGCUGGCGGCGUGCUUAACACAUGCAAGUCGAACGGAAAGGCCCUGCUUUUGUGUGGUGCUCGAGUGGCGAACGGGGGAGUAACACGUGAGUAACCUGCCCUUGACUUUGGGAUAACUUCAGGAAACUGGGGCUAAUACCGGAUAGGAGCUCCUGCUGCAUGGUGGGGGUUGGAAAGUUUCGGCGGUUGGGGAUGGACUCGCGGCUUAUCAGCUUGUUGGUGAGGUAGUGGCUUACCAAGGCUUUGACGGGUAGCCGGCCUGAGAGGGUGACCGGCCACAUGGGGACUGCGGUACGGACCAGACUCCUACGGGAGGCAGCAGUGGGGAAUAUUGCACAAUGGGCGGAAGCCUGAUGCAGCAACGCCGCGUGCGGGAUGACGGCCUUCGGGUUGUAAACCGCUUUCGCCUGUGACGAAGCGUGAGUGACGGUAAUGGGUAAAGAAGCACCGGCUAACUACGUG
Molecule: ribosomal RNA, 468 nt
Filed under: uncultured bacterium
Lineage: Bacteria
Description: partial 16S ribosomal RNA
Rfam family: Bacterial small subunit ribosomal RNA
Source: RNAcentral